GUUGUUUUGGUCUCUGCAUGUCUGCAGUUUCUCUCUCUCUCCAUAGAGACGAAACCAGCCAGAAUUGUUUUUGUCUCAGCGCGUCUUGAGUUCUGUGGUCGUUGAUCGGUUUAUUCCAUAGAGACGAAACAGGCCAGAAUUGCCCCCAAAAAUGACCUCAGCAUAUAUAGAUGGUGAUAACGAAUUUCUAAAUAUUAAUGGUGGUGAUGAUGAUGGUGAUAACGAUAGCCGAAAGGGCGACGAACCCAAACCACCACAGACGAGGAGGGCUCCACUCCGGGAACAACCGACUCCGAUCCUCGACGGCGAACUCGAACUUGAACAACCUCCGACUCCGAUCCUCGACGAUCUCAAGCAGAAGAUGGAACAUAUGCUUCGAAAUUUAUGCAGUGGACAAUAUGGGCCUUUGCUACUUCAAUUUUGGACACUCA
Camellia sinensis is the source of this 431-nucleotide non-coding RNA. The record is from RefSeq and is a predicted model, not a curated record. Lineage: Eukaryota; Viridiplantae; Streptophyta; Magnoliopsida; Ericales; Theaceae.